GAUGAACGCUAGCUACAGGCUUAACACAUGCAAGUCGAGGGGAAACGACAUCGCAAGCUUGCUUUUGAUGGGCGUCGACCGGCGCACGGGUGAGUAACGCGUAUCCAACCUGCCCACCACUUGGGGAUAACCUUGCGAAAGUAAGACUAAUACCCAAUGAUAUCCCACGAAGACAUCUGAAUGGGAUUAAAGAUUUAUCGGUGAUGGAUGGGGAUGCGUCUGAUUAGCUUGUUGGCGGGGUAACGGCCCACCAAGGCAACGAUCAGUAGGGGUUCUGAGAGGAAGGUCCCCCACAUUGGAACUGAGACACGGUCCAAACUCCUACGGGAGGCAGCAGUGAGGAAUAUUGGUCAAUGGGCGAGAGCCUGAACCAGCCAAGUAGCGUGCAGGAAGACGGCCCUAUGGGUUGUAAACUGCUUUUAGAAGGGAAUAAAGUGGGUAACGUGUGACUUUUUGCAUGUACCUUAUGAAUAAGGACCGGCUAAUUCCGUG
This 492-nucleotide ribosomal RNA is filed under the name uncultured bacterium. RNAcentral's name for it is "partial 16S ribosomal RNA". It matches the Rfam family "Bacterial small subunit ribosomal RNA", at positions 28 to 507 of the family's 1533-position model. The record is from RNAcentral.